GAAAUGCGAUAAGUAAUGUGAAUUGCAGAAUUCAGUGAAUCAUCGAAUCUUUGAACGCAGAUUGCGCCCGCCAGUAUUCUGGCGGGCAUGCCUGUUCGAGCGUCAUUUCAACCAUCAAGCCCCCGGGCUUGUGUUGGGGACCUGCGGCUGCCGCAGGCCCCGAAAACCAGUGGCGGGCUCGCUGUCACACCGGGCGUAGUAGAUUUUUCGUCUCGCCCAGGGCGUGCUGCGGGUUCCGGCCGUUAAAAAGCCUCUCUUUUUAACCCAAGGUUGACCUCGGAUCAGGUAGGAAGACCCGCUGAACUUAAGC
Molecule: unclassified non-coding RNA, 310 nt
Filed under: plant metagenome
Description: partial contains 5.8S ribosomal RNA, internal transcribed spacer 2, and large subunit ribosomal RNA
Rfam family: 5.8S ribosomal RNA (bases 1-105)
Source: RNAcentral